RNAcentral lists this ribosomal RNA (2514 nucleotides) under Escherichia coli. Its description in RNAcentral is "partial 23S ribosomal RNA". It matches the Rfam family "Bacterial large subunit ribosomal RNA", at positions 289 to 2797 of the family's 2925-position model. The record is from RNAcentral. Lineage: Bacteria; Pseudomonadati; Pseudomonadota; Gammaproteobacteria; Enterobacterales; Enterobacteriaceae.
GGGGAGGAGCCCAGAGCCUGAAUCAGUGUGUGUGUUAGUGGAAGCGUCUGGAAAGGCGCGCGAUACAGGGUGACAGCCCCGUACACAAAAAUGCACAUAUUGUGAGCUCGAUGAGUAGGGCGGGACACGUGGUAUCCUGUCUGAAUAUGGGGGGACCAUCCUCCAAGGCUAAAUACUCCUGACUGACCGAUAGUGAACCAGUACCGUGAGGGAAAGGCGAAAAGAACCCCGGCGAGGGGAGUGAAAAAGAACCUGAAACCGUGUACGUACAAGCAGUGGGAGCCUCUUUAUGGGGUGACUGCGUACCUUUUGUAUAAUGGGUCAGCGACUUAUAUUCUGUAGCAAGGUUAACCGAAUAGGGGAGCCGAAGGGAAACCGAGUCUUAACUGGGCGUUAAGUUGCAGGGUAUAGACCCGAAACCCGGUGAUCUAGCCAUGGGCAGGUUGAAGGUUGGGUAACACUAACUGGAGGACCGAACCGACUAAUGUUGAAAAAUUAGCGGAUGACUUGUGGCUGGGGGUGAAAGGCCAAUCAAACCGGGAGAUAGCUGGUUCUCCCCGAAAGCUAUUUAGGUAGCGCCUCGUGAAUUCAUCUCCGGGGGUAGAGCACUGUUUCGGCAAGGGGGUCAUCCCGACUUACCAACCCGAUGCAAACUGCGAAUACCGGAGAAUGUUAUCACGGGAGACACACGGCGGGUGCUAACGUCCGUCGUGAAGAGGGAAACAACCCAGACCGCCAGCUAAGGUCCCAAAGUCAUGGUUAAGUGGGAAACGAUGUGGGAAGGCCCAGACAGCCAGGAUGUUGGCUUAGAAGCAGCCAUCAUUUAAAGAAAGCGUAAUAGCUCACUGGUCGAGUCGGCCUGCGCGGAAGAUGUAACGGGGCUAAACCAUGCACCGAAGCUGCGGCAGCGACACUAUGUGUUGUUGGGUAGGGGAGCGUUCUGUAAGCCUGUGAAGGUGGCCUGUGAGGGUUGCUGGAGGUAUCAGAAGUGCGAAUGCUGACAUAAGUAACGAUAAAGCGGGUGAAAAGCCCGCUCGCCGGAAGACCAAGGGUUCCUGUCCAACGUUAAUCGGGGCAGGGUGAGUCGACCCCUAAGGCGAGGCCGAAAGGCGUAGUCGAUGGGAAACAGGUUAAUAUUCCUGUACUUGGUGUUACUGCGAAGGGGGGACGGAGAAGGCUAUGUUGGCCGGGCGACGGUUGUCCCGGUUUAAGCGUGUAGGCUGGUUUUCCAGGCAAAUCCGGAAAACCAAGGCUGAGGCGUGAUGACGAGGCACUACGGUGCUGAAGCGACAAAUGCCCUGCUUCCAGGAAAAGCCUCUAAGCAUCAGGUAACAUCAAAUCGUACCCCAAACCGACACAGGUGGUCAGGUAGAGAAUACCAAGGCGCUUGAGAGAACUCGGGUGAAGGAACUAGGCAAAAUGGUGCCGUAACUUCGGGAGAAGGCACGCUGAUAUGUAGGUGAAGCGACUUGCUCGUGGAGCUGAAAUCAGUCGAAGAUACCAGCUGGCUGCAACUGUUUAUUAAAAACACAGCACUGUGCAAACACGAAAGUGGACGUAUACGGUGUGACGCCUGCCCGGUGCCGGAAGGUUAAUUGAUGGGGUUAGCGGUAACGCGAAGCUCUUGAUCGAAGCCCCGGUAAACGGCGGCCGUAACUAUAACGGUCCUAAGGUAGCGAAAUUCCUUGUCGGGUAAGUUCCGACCUGCACGAAUGGCGUAAUGAUGGCCAGGCUGUCUCCACCCGAGACUCAGUGAAAUUGAACUCGCUGUGAAGAUGCAGUGUACCCGCGGCAAGACGGAAAGACCCCGUGAACCUUUACUAUAGCUUGACACUGAACAUUGAGCCUUGAUGUGUAGGAUAGGUGGGAGGCUUUGAAGUGUGGACGCCAGUCUGCAUGGAGCCGACCUUGAAAUACCACCCUUUAAUGUUUGAUGUUCUAACGUUGGCCCGUAAUCCGGGUUGCGGACAGUGUCUGGUGGGUAGUUUGACUGGGGCGGUCUCCUCCUAAAGAGUAACGGAGGAGCACGAAGGUUGGCUAAUCCUGGUCGGACAUCAGGAGGUUAGUGCAAUGGCAUAAGCCAGCUUGACUGCGAGCGUGACGGCGCGAGCAGGUGCGAAAGCAGGUCAUAGUGAUCCGGUGGUUCUGAAUGGAAGGGCCAUCGCUCAACGGAUAAAAGGUACUCCGGGGAUAACAGGCUGAUACCGCCCAAGAGUUCAUAUCGACGGCGGUGUUUGGCACCUCGAUGUCGGCUCAUCACAUCCUGGGGCUGAAGUAGGUCCCAAGGGUAUGGCUGUUCGCCAUUUAAAGUGGUACGCGAGCUGGGUUUAGAACGUCGUGAGACAGUUCGGUCCCUAUCUGCCGUGGGCGCUGGAGAACUGAGGGGGGCUGCUCCUAGUACGAGAGGACCGGAGUGGACGCAUCACUGGUGUUCGGGUUGUCAUGCCAAUGGCACUGCCCGGUAGCUAAAUGCGGAAGAGAUAAGUGCUGAAAGCAUCUAAGCACGAAACUUGC